Molecule: transfer RNA, 77 nt
Filed under: Lentisphaeria bacterium
Lineage: Bacteria; Pseudomonadati; Lentisphaerota; Lentisphaeria
Description: tRNA-Arg
Rfam family: tRNA
About the family: Transfer RNA (tRNA) molecules are approximately 80 nucleotides in length. Their secondary structure includes four short double-helical elements and three loops (D, anti-codon, and T loops).
Source: RNAcentral
GCUCUCUUAGCUCAGUUGGAUAGAGCGGCUCCCUCCUAAGGAGCAGGCCGCGCGUUCGAUUCGCGCAGAGAGCACCA